RNAcentral lists this ribosomal RNA (451 nucleotides) under uncultured bacterium. RNAcentral describes it as "partial 16S ribosomal RNA". It matches the Rfam family "Bacterial small subunit ribosomal RNA", at positions 28 to 507 of the family's 1533-position model. The record is from RNAcentral.
GAUGAACGCUGGCGGCGUGCCUAACACAUGCAAGUCGAGCGGCAGCGCGGGGUGCUUGCACCCUGUCGGCGAGCGGCGGACGGCUGAGUAACGCGUGGGAACGUGCCCCAAAGUGAGGAAUAACUGCCCGAAAGGGUAGCUAAUACCGCAUAUUAUCUUCGGAUCAAAGGAUUUAUCCGCUUUGGGAGCGGCUCGCGUCGGAUUAUGUAGUUGGUGAGGUAAUGGCUCACCAAGCCGACGAUCCGUAGCUGGUCUGAGAGGAUGACCAGCCAGACUGGAACUGAGACACGGUCCAGACUCCUACGGGAGGCAGCAGUGAGGAAUCUUCCACAAUGGGCGAAAGCCUGAUGGAGCAACGCCGCGUGCAGGACGAAGGCCUUCGGGUUGUAAACUGCUUUUAUAAGUGAGGAAUAUGACGGUAACUUAUGAAUAAGGAUCGGCUAACUACGUG